AGUGAACGCUGGCGGUAGGCCUAACACAUGCAAGUCGAACGGCAGCACAGUAAGAGCUUGCUCUUACGGGUGGCGAGUGGCGGACGGGUGAGGAAUACAUCGGAAUCUACUUUUUCGUGGGGGAUAACGUAGGGAAACUUACGCUAAUACCGCAUACGACCUACGGGUGAAAGCAGGGGAUCUUCGGACCUUGCGCGAUUGAAUGAGCCGAUGUCGGAUUAGCUAGUUGGCGGGGUAAAGGCCCACCAAGGCGACGAUCCGUAGCUGGUCUGAGAGGAUGAUCAGCCACACUGGAACUGAGACACGGUCCAGACUCCUACGGGAGGCAGCAGUGGGGAAUGUUGGACAAUGGGCGCAAGCCUGAUCCAGCCGUACCGCGUGGGUGAAGAAGGCCUUCGGGUUGUAAAGCCCUUUUGUUGGGAAAGAAAAGCAGCAGGUUAAUACCCCGCUGUUCUGACGGUACCCAAAGAAUAAGCACCGGCUAACUUCGUG
RNAcentral lists this ribosomal RNA (492 nucleotides) under uncultured bacterium. Its description in RNAcentral is "partial 16S ribosomal RNA". It matches the Rfam family "Bacterial small subunit ribosomal RNA", at positions 29 to 507 of the family's 1533-position model. The record is from RNAcentral.